GCAUGGCUGUCGUCAGCUCGUGUCGUGAGAUGUUGGGUUAAGUCCCGCAACGAGCGCAACCCUUGUCACUAGUUGCCAUCAUUUGGUUGGGCACUCUAGUGAGACUGCCGGUGACAAACCGGAGGAAGGUGGGGAUGACGUCAAGUCCUCAUGGCCCUUAUGGGUAGGGCUUCACACGUCAUACAAUGGUCGGUACAGAGGGUUGCCAAGCCGCGAGGUGGAGCCAAUCCCUUAAAGCCGAUCGUAGUCCGGAUCGUAGUCUGCAACUCGACUACGUGAAGUCGGAAUCGCUAGUAAUCGUGGAUCAGCAUGUCACGGUGAAUACGUUCCCGGGUCUU
This 338-nucleotide ribosomal RNA is filed under the name uncultured Thauera sp. RNAcentral's name for it is "bacterial SSU rRNA". It matches the Rfam family "Bacterial small subunit ribosomal RNA", at positions 1043 to 1382 of the family's 1533-position model. Lineage: Bacteria; Pseudomonadati; Pseudomonadota; Betaproteobacteria; Rhodocyclales; Zoogloeaceae. The record is from RNAcentral.